This 1025-nucleotide ribosomal RNA is filed under the name uncultured Bacillota bacterium. RNAcentral describes it as "bacterial SSU rRNA". It matches the Rfam family "Bacterial small subunit ribosomal RNA", at positions 28 to 1045 of the family's 1533-position model. The record is from RNAcentral. Lineage: Bacteria; Bacillati; Bacillota.
GAUGAACGCUGGCGGCGUGCUUAACACAUGCAAGUCGAACGGACUACCCCAGAUUGAGGCUUCGGCUGAGAGAUGGGACUAGUUAGUGGCGGACGGGUGAGUAACGCGUGAGCAACCUGCCCUUCGGAGGGGGACAACAGUUGGAAACGACUGCUAAUACCGCAUAAUGUGCCGGAAUCGCAUGGUUUUGGUACCAAAGAUUUAUCGCCGAAGGAUGGGCUCGCGUCUGAUUAGCUGGUUGGUGAGGUAGAGGCUCACCAAGGCGACGAUCAGUAGCCGGACUGAGAGGUUGACCGGCCACAUUGGGACUGAGAUACGGCCCAGACUCCUACGGGAGGCAGCAGUGGGGAAUAUUGGGCAAUGGGCGCAAGCCUGACCCAGCAACGCCGCGUGAAGGAAGAAGGCUUUCGGGUUGUAAACUUCUUUGACAGGGGAAGAAAGAAAUGACGGUACCCUGAGAACAAGCCACGGCUAACUACGUGCCAGCAGCCGCGGUAAUACGUAGGUGGCAAGCGUUAUCCGGAUUUACUGGGUGUAAAGGGCGUGUAGGCGGGAUCUUAAGUCAGAUGUGAAAACUAUGGGCUCAACCCAUAGCCUGCAUUUGAAACUGAGGUUCUUGAGUGAUGGAGAGGUAAGUGGAAUUCCUAGUGUAGCGGUGAAAUGCGUAGAUAUUAGGAGGAACACCAGUGGCGAAGGCGACUUACUGGACAUUAACUGACGCUGAGGCGCGAAAGCGUGGGGAGCAAACAGGAUUAGAUACCCUGGUAGUCCACGCUGUAAACGAUGAAUACUAGGUGUGGGGGGACUGACCCCUUCCGUGCCGGAGUUAACACAAUAAGUAUUCCACCUGGGGAGUACGUUCGCAAGAAUGAAACUCAAAGGAAUUGACGGGGGCCCGCACAAGCAGUGGAUUAUGUGGUUUAAUUCGAAGCAACGCGAAGAACCUUACCAGGGCUUGACAUGGGGAGUGACCGGGACUAGAGAUAGUCCUUUUCUUUCGGGACACUCCCACCACAGGUGGUGCA